AGUGAACGCUGGCGGUAGGCCUAACACAUGCAAGUCGAACGGCAGCACAGUAAGAGCUUGCUCUUACGGGUGGCGAGUGGCGGACGGGUGAGGAAUACAUCGGAAUCUACUUUUUCGUGGGGGAUAACGUAGGGAAACUUACGCUAAUACCGCAUACGACCUACGGGUGAAAGCAGGGGAUCUUCGGACCUUGCGCGAUUGAAUGAGCCGAUGUCGGAUUAGCUAGUUGGCGGGGUAAAGGCCCACCAAGGCGACGAUCCGUAGCUGGUCUGAGAGGAUGAUUAGGCAAAACUGGAAUGAGAACAGGGCCCGGCUUCCAAGGGAGGCCACAGUGGGGAAAUUUGGAACAAUGGGCGCAGGCUGGACCCGGCAUAACGGGUGGGUGGAGGAAGGCUUUGGGUUUUAAAACCCUUUUGUUGGGAAAAAAAAGGAACAAGUUAAAAACCCCGUGUUUCGGAGGUACCCAAAGAAUAAGCACCGGCUAACUUCGUG
This 492-nucleotide ribosomal RNA is filed under the name uncultured bacterium. RNAcentral's name for it is "partial 16S ribosomal RNA". It matches the Rfam family "Bacterial small subunit ribosomal RNA", at positions 29 to 507 of the family's 1533-position model. The record is from RNAcentral.